GACCCGAGACGUGGCGCUCCCGCCGUGCCGGCCACAGCUCCAGGUACGUGCGCGUCCGGCGGCUGAAUCUGGCCUGGGAGAGGGCUGGGGUCGUCUGGUCCUCCGGAACUCGAAGUUUGUGAUUUUGUUCUUUUUCUGUGACAAUCUCCUGCGUGCUGAGAGAGAAACUCCUUGAAAGAAGACCCAGAGAGUCGCUGCGGGUUCUUGGAGGAGUGAUUUGGGGUGCUUGAAUUUCAGCGACUUGCCUAAACUGGCAUCUCAGACCAGAGGAUCAGGAGGUGACUGAGGAGGAAGUAACCCUGGAAGAGAUCAGGAUUUGGCUGUGGGUUAUGCGUGACCUUCCGAGGAAAUCUAGAUUUCGGUGGUCCUUAAAAUGUGAUUGAUUGUAUUAAAAUUAUGAAAAACCUCA
Otolemur garnettii (small-eared galago) is the source of this 409-nucleotide long non-coding RNA. RefSeq lists it as uncharacterized. The record is from RefSeq and is a predicted model, not a curated record. Lineage: Eukaryota; Metazoa; Chordata; Mammalia; Primates; Galagidae. The transcript is spliced from 2 exons.